AGGAGUCUCCGAGCUUCUCGGAGCGACCUACGGUUUUCAAAAAUUCUGUUUCGACGGGCGGCGGUGCACUUCUCUUGGGCAAGGCGGCGUUUGUGGCGUGGCAGUUUACGGCGGCGGCGCGGGGCAAUACUCAAGCGUCGAUCGUGCCUGCGGUGAGAAGCUCCCGUUUGGGGGCCUCUUUGAUAGUGUUUUAGGUUUCAUUCCUAAACCAGUUUGGAUGGUGCUGGGAUUGGCGGUGUUUCGAUCACCUUCGUCUGGGUGGUUGAGGAUCAGAGUGGGGCGAUCGUGUCGAGGUCUGCGUCACAGCGACUUCACAGGCGUUCUGCUAAGGGUGGCGGGUUUUUUCUUUAGAGAAGCACUCUGAUCGACGCUUGAGUCCGGGUCGAGGUCCAGGUAUGAAGGCGGUGGUGGAAGAUAGUGGACGGCCGCCGAAUUGGUGAUGGGUCGCUGCUCUUUCGAUGAUGUUCUAUAGGUCGAUCUGGGAGGGAGGGGAGGAUGAUGGGAUGAGCUCUGUUUCGGGCAGUCGAGGCGGGCCAAGUUUUGGCCCAAGCUUUGGUGGAGUGGCCGGAGUCGGCUGGUCUGCGUCUCCUAGUUUCUCGGCCGGAAAUCCUAUGUUCAGCUAGGGUUUUGGGUAGGGCCUGGAGCUAUGGGCCAUUCCAUUUCCUUUUCUUUCUGUCAGAUCGGGCCUGUGGUGGUUGCUGGGGGGUGGCAGAGCCUUUUUGUUUUUUUUGUUUUGUUUAAGACCAAUCGUUUUCGGAUCAAGACUGCUACGGGAGUUGGUAAUUAUCUGGAAUAAGAUUGG
RNAcentral lists this long non-coding RNA (802 nucleotides) under Rosa chinensis. Its description in RNAcentral is "sRNA RchiOBHm_Chr7g0238481". Lineage: Eukaryota; Viridiplantae; Streptophyta; Magnoliopsida; Rosales; Rosaceae. The record is from RNAcentral.